Gallus gallus (chicken) is the source of this 110-nucleotide microRNA precursor. The record is from Ensembl. NCBI's taxonomy places the organism in Eukaryota, Metazoa, Chordata, Aves, Galliformes, Phasianidae.
AGGAUGAUGGAGCAGAGCCUAUGGGAGGAGCGGUGAGCAGCAGCACAGCAUCAGCUCCUGCCCGCCCUGUCCCCAUGGCUCCAUCCAUCCCAGCACCGCGGCCGCUCCAC